GAGAGUUUGAUCCUGGCUCAGAAUCAACGCUGGCGGCGUGCCUAACACAUGCAAGUCGAACAAGAAAGGGACUUCGGUCCUGAGUACAGUGGCGCACGGGUGAGUAACACGUGACUAACCUACCCUCGAGUGGGGAAUAACUUCGGGAAACCGAGGCUAAUACCGCAUAAUACCCACGGGUCAAAGGAGCAAUUCGCUUGAGGAGGGGGUCGCGGCCGAUUAGCUAGUUGGCGGGGUAAUGGCCCACCAAGGCAGUGAUCGGUAUCCGGCCUGAGAGGGCGCACGGACACACUGGAACUGAAACACGGUCCAGACUCCUACGGGAGGCAGCAG
This 333-nucleotide ribosomal RNA is filed under the name Acidobacterium sp. Its description in RNAcentral is "bacterial SSU rRNA". It matches the Rfam family "Bacterial small subunit ribosomal RNA", at positions 7 to 354 of the family's 1533-position model. The record is from RNAcentral. Lineage: Bacteria; Pseudomonadati; Acidobacteriota; Terriglobia; Terriglobales; Acidobacteriaceae.